CCUACGGGUGACAGCAGUGAGGAAUAUUGGUCAAUGGGCGCGAGCCUGAACCAGCCAAGUAGCGUGAAGGAUGACUGCCCUACGGGUUGUAAACUUCUUUUAUAAAGGAAUAAAGUGAGGCACGUGAGCCUUUUUGUAUGUACUUUAUGAAUAAGGAUCGGCUAACACCGUGCCAGCAGCCGCGGUAAUACGGAGGAUCCGAGCGUUAUCCGGAUUUAUUGGGUUUAAAGGGAGCGUAGAGGGGUUGUUAAGUCAGUUGUGAAAGUUUGCGGCUCAACCGUAAAAUUGCAAUUGAUACUGACAGCCUUGAGUGCAGUUGAGGUAGGCGGAAUUCGUGGUGUAGCGGUGAAAUGCUUAGAUAUCACGAAGAACUCCGAUUGCGAAGGCAGCUUACUAAACUGCCACUGACAUUGAUGCUCGAAAGUGUGGGUAUCAAACAGGAUUAGAUACCCUGGUAGUC
This 460-nucleotide ribosomal RNA is filed under the name uncultured bacterium. RNAcentral's name for it is "partial 16S ribosomal RNA". It matches the Rfam family "Bacterial small subunit ribosomal RNA", at positions 338 to 795 of the family's 1533-position model. The record is from RNAcentral.